GACGCUGCGGCAGGCUAACACAUGCAAGUCGAGCGGUAACAGAAAGUAGCUUGCUACUUUGCUGACGAGCGGCGGACGGGUGAGUAAUGCUUGGGAACAUGCCUUGAGGUGGGGGACAACAGUUGGAAACGACUGCUAAUACCGCAUAAUGUCUACGGACCAAAGGGGGCUUCGGCUCUCGCCUUUAGAUUGGCCCAAGUGGGAUUAGCUAGUUGGUGAGGUAAUGGCUCACCAAGGCAACGAUCCCUAGCUGGUUUGAGAGGAUGAUCAGCCACACUGGAACUGAGACACGGUCCAGACUCCUACGGGAGGCAGCAGUGGGGAAUAUUGCACAAUGGGCGAAAGCCUGAUGCAGCCAUGCCGCGUGUGUGAAGAAGGCCUUCGGGUUGUAAAGCACUUUCAGUCAGGAGGAAAGGGUGUGAGUUAAUACCUCACAUCUGUGACGUUACUGACAGAAGAAGCACCGGCUAACUCCGUGCCAGCAGCCGCGGUAAUACGGAGGGUGCGAGCGUUAAUCGGAAUUACUGGGCGUAAAGCGUACGCAGGCGGUUUGUUAAGCGAGAUGUGAAAGCCCCGGGCUCAACCUGGGAACUGCAUUUCGAACUGGCAAACUAGAGUGUGAUAGAGGGUGGUAGAAUUUCAGGUGUAGCGGUGAAAUGCGUAGAGANCUGAAGGAAUACCGAUGGCGAAGGCAGCCACCUGGGUCAACACUGACGCUCAUGUACGAAAGCGUGGGGAGCAAACGGGAUUAGAUACCCCGGUAGUCCACGCCGUAAA
Molecule: ribosomal RNA, 777 nt
Filed under: Pseudoalteromonas sp. AD-D5
Lineage: Bacteria; Pseudomonadati; Pseudomonadota; Gammaproteobacteria; Alteromonadales; Pseudoalteromonadaceae
Description: bacterial SSU rRNA
Rfam family: Bacterial small subunit ribosomal RNA
Source: RNAcentral